RNAcentral lists this small RNA (16 nucleotides) under Arabidopsis thaliana (thale cress). RNAcentral describes it as "ATSL127580". The record is from RNAcentral. Lineage: Eukaryota; Viridiplantae; Streptophyta; Magnoliopsida; Brassicales; Brassicaceae.
UUUCUUUCUCUUCCUG